CAAUAGCGUAUAUUAAAGUUGUUGCAGUUAAAAAGCUCGUAGUUGGAUUUCCGGCGUGAGGGAUCAGUCUGACUUCUAGUCAGUACUUGGUCCUCUCAUGCCGUCCUUGAAUGGUGCAUCCUGGCAUUAAGUUGUCGGGGUGAGAGCCGUUCAUCGUUUACUGUGAGAAAAUUAGAGUGUUCAAAGCAGGCUUAUGCCGUUGAAUAUAUUAGCAUGGAAUAAUAAGAUAGGACUUUGGUACUAUUUUGUUGGUUGAACUAAGCCAAGGUAAUGAAUGCAAUAGGGACAGUUUGGGGGGUAUUCGUAUUCAGUUGUCAGAGGUGAAAUUCUUAGAUUUCCGGAAGACGAACUACUGCGAAAGC
This 362-nucleotide ribosomal RNA is filed under the name uncultured eukaryote. Its description in RNAcentral is "SSU rRNA". It matches the Rfam family "Eukaryotic small subunit ribosomal RNA", at positions 592 to 952 of the family's 1831-position model. The record is from RNAcentral.